RNAcentral lists this ribosomal RNA (162 nucleotides) under uncultured bacterium. RNAcentral's name for it is "partial 16S rRNA". It matches the Rfam family "Bacterial small subunit ribosomal RNA", at positions 355 to 509 of the family's 1533-position model. The record is from RNAcentral.
UAGGGAAUCUUCCACAAUGGACGCAAGUCUGAUGGAGCAACGCCGCGUGAGUGAAGAAGGUCUUCGGAUCGUAAAACUCUGUUGUUAGAGAAGAACACGAGUGAGAGUAACUGUUCAUUCGAUGACGGUAUCUAACCAGCAAGUCACGGCUAACUACGUGCC